GAUGAACGCUGGCGGCGUGCUUAACACAUGCAAGCCGAACGAAGCACUUUAUUUGAUUUCCUUCGGGACUGAUUAUUUUGUGACUGAGUGGCGGACGGGUGAGUAACGCGUGGGUAACCUGCCUUGUACAGGGGGAUAACAGUUGGAAACGGCUGCUAAUACCGCAUAAGCGCCCAGCAUCGCAUGAUGCAGUGUGAAAAACUCCGGUGGUAUAAGAUGGACCCGCGUUGGAUUAGCUAGUUGGUGAGGUAACGGCCCACCAAGGCGACGAUCCAUAGCCGACCUGAGGGGGUGACCGGCCACAUUGGGACUGAGACACGGCCCAAACUCCUACGGGAGGCAGCAGUGGGGAAUAUUGCACAAUGGGCGAAAGCCUGAUGCAGCGACGCCGCGUGAGCGAAGAAGUAUUUCGGUAUGUAAAGCUCUAUCAGCAGGGAAGAUAAUGACGGUACCUGACUAAGAAGCACCGGCUAAAUACGUG
RNAcentral lists this ribosomal RNA (481 nucleotides) under uncultured bacterium. RNAcentral's name for it is "partial 16S ribosomal RNA". It matches the Rfam family "Bacterial small subunit ribosomal RNA", at positions 28 to 507 of the family's 1533-position model. The record is from RNAcentral.